This 497-nucleotide ribosomal RNA is filed under the name uncultured bacterium. Its description in RNAcentral is "partial 16S ribosomal RNA". It matches the Rfam family "Bacterial small subunit ribosomal RNA", at positions 28 to 507 of the family's 1533-position model. The record is from RNAcentral.
GAUGAACGCUGGCGGCGUGCCUAAUACAUGCAAGUCGAGCGAACAGACGAGGAGCUUGCUCCUCUGACGUUAGCGGCGGACGGGUGAGUAACACGUGGAUAACCUACCUAUAAGACUGGGAUAACUUCGGGAAACCGGAGCUAAUACCGGAUAAUAUAUUGAACCGCAUGGUUCAAUAGUGAAAGACGGUUUUGCUGUCACUUAUAGAUGGAUCCGCGCCGCAUUAGCUAGUUGGUAAGGUAACGGCUUACCAAGGCAACGAUGCGUAGCCGACCUGAGAGGGGGAUCCGCCACACUGGAACUGAGACCCCGGCCAGACCCCUACGGGAGGCAGCAGUUGGGAAUCUUCCGCAAUGGGCGAAAGCCUGACGGAGCAACGCCGCGUGAGUGAUGAAGGUCUUUGGAUCGUAAAACUCUGUUAUUAGGGAAGAACAAAUGUGUAAGUAACUAUGCACGUCUUGACGGUACCUAAUCAGAAAGCCACGGCUAACUACGUG